This 175-nucleotide ribosomal RNA is filed under the name Ptychocheilus oregonensis (northern pikeminnow). RNAcentral's name for it is "partial 12S rRNA". The record is from RNAcentral. Lineage: Eukaryota; Metazoa; Chordata; Actinopteri; Cypriniformes; Leuciscidae.
CACCGCGGUUAAACGAGAGGCCCUAGUUGAUAGUACAACGGCGUAAAGGGUGGUUAAGGAACGCAAGCAAUAAAGCCGAAUGGCCCUUUGGCUGUCAUACGCUUCUAGGUGUCCGAAGCCCAAUAUACGAAAGUAGCUUUAGAAAAGCCCACCUGACACCACGAAAGCUGAGAAA